This 1239-nucleotide ribosomal RNA is filed under the name Triticum aestivum (bread wheat). RNAcentral describes it as "partial small subunit ribosomal RNA". The record is from RNAcentral. Lineage: Eukaryota; Viridiplantae; Streptophyta; Magnoliopsida; Poales; Poaceae.
AUGAACCUGGCCCUCCUGACGAGGUGGCUUUGGCGCAUUGCGAAUGGCGAGGGAGGUCUGUGGCUGCAAAUCAUCCGAAACAAAUACUUACGCGGCCAACCUCUUGCCUUCUGCCUUCGAACAAGGGGCUCCCAGUUCUGGCAGUCCGUCAUCCAGUUGCUCCCGGUUCUCCGCAUCAGGACCUCCAUCACGGUUGGCUCUGGGACAGCCACCCUGUUUUGGUUCGACCGUCGGGCUAGGGACUCCCCUUUCGCUGUGUGGUUCCCGAAUCUUUUCUCCAUCGCAGUGGAGCCUAGGAUCUCCAUUGAGACGGCCCUUACUAACUUAGGGCGUCUCACGUUCCGGCGGCCAUUUGGGCCCCUGGAUAUCGCCGCCUGGCAUGAGCUCCUAGAGGCCGUCACGCUUCACGAGCCUGAUCUAACAUUGACGCAUGAUCGCUUAUCGUGGUGCCUAGAGGCCUCAAGCAAAUUCUCCACGAAGUCCCUGUACCAGGCCAUUGCCCCCACCCCAGGCCCGGUGGCCCUCGAGAUGAUCUGGGCUAUCUGUGUGCCCCUCAAGAUCAGGAUCUUCAUGUGGCAAUGGAUCCGCGGCUGGCUGCCCUCCGGCGUGGAGGUGUUAAAAAGGAAUGGCCCGGGCGACGGGAUUUGUCCCCUUUGUGGGACUGAGGAAAACUCGAAUCACAUUUUCUUCUCGUGCGUCUCCACCCAGUUCGGAGCUGCCUCCAUGAGGUAGUCAGGGGUAGUUGGUGCAACACCAACUUCCCGGACCUCUUCACCGAGGUCCAGGCAUCAACCCCGUCAGACUGCCACAUUAGGUGGCUGCUCAUUGGGGUCCUUGCUUGGACGCUCUGGACCGUGCAUAAUAAGCUUGCCAUCCAGCGUGUGCCUAUUCGACGUGCCACUGACGCAGUAUUCAAAAUGUGUGGUUAUUUGCAGCUAUGGCGGCCGCUUAGCCGUCACCAGGACCGGGACGCCAUUAGCAUCAUCAUUGCUGACCUUCGCGCGAUGGCUCUUCACUUGGCGCCGCCGCUUCCUCCUCCUCCACCCGAGACGGAUUAGCUUCAUAGUUGCGGUGUCACCGCCCUUGUUUUCCCUUCUUCAGGGCUUGUUGAGCUGUGCCCUCAGCAGAACCCUCUUGUACUCUAUGUUGUGCGAUUGUGUGUGUGUGGACCUCUGUGGUACUUUGUGGUUGUGGUGGUUUGCUUUAUUUAUAAAGCAGGGCGAAAGCCUUUUUCAGUAA